This 497-nucleotide ribosomal RNA is filed under the name uncultured bacterium. RNAcentral describes it as "partial 16S ribosomal RNA". It matches the Rfam family "Bacterial small subunit ribosomal RNA", at positions 28 to 507 of the family's 1533-position model. The record is from RNAcentral.
GAUGAACGCUGGCGGCGUGCCUAAUACAUGCAAGUCGAGCGAACGGACGAGAAGCUUGCUUCUCUGAUGUUAGCGGCGGACGGGUGAUUAACACGUGGAUAACCUACCUAUAAGACUGGGAUAACUUCGGGAAACCGGAGCUAAUACCGGAUAAUAUUUUGAACCGCAUGGUUCAAAAGUGAAAGACGGUCUUGCUGUCACUUAUAGAUGGAUCCGCGCUGCAUUAGCUAGUUGGUAAGGUAACGGCUUACCAAGGCAACGAUGCAUAGCCGACCUGAGAGGGUGAUCCGCCACACUGGAACUGAGACACGGUACAGACUCCUACGGGAGGAAGCAGUAGGGAAUCUUACGCAAUGGGCGAAAGCCUGACGGAGCAACGCCGCGUGAGUGAUGAAGGUCUUAGGAUCGUAAAACUCUGUUAUUAGGAAAGAACAUAUGUGUAAGUAACUGUGCACAUCUUGACGGUACCUAAUCAGAAAGCCACGGCUAACUACGUG